This 242-nucleotide ribosomal RNA is filed under the name bacterium enrichment culture clone ALO1_GLFRUDD03F99IV. RNAcentral describes it as "partial 16S ribosomal RNA". It matches the Rfam family "Bacterial small subunit ribosomal RNA", at positions 9 to 252 of the family's 1533-position model. The record is from RNAcentral.
GAGUUUGAUCUUGGCUCAGAUUGAACGCUGGCGGCAUGCCUUACACAUGCAAGUCGAACGGCAGCACGGGAGCUUGCUCCUGGUGGCGAGUGGCGAACGGGUGAGUAAUGCAUCGGAACGUAUCCUGGAGUGGGGGAUAACGUAGCGAAAGUUACGCUAAUACCGCAUAUUCUGUGAGCAGGAAAGCGGGGACCUUCGGGCCUCGCGCUCUUGGAGCGGCCGAUGUCGGAUUAGCUAGUUGG